Molecule: ribosomal RNA, 546 nt
Filed under: uncultured Bacteroidota bacterium
Lineage: Bacteria; Pseudomonadati; Bacteroidota
Description: bacterial SSU rRNA
Rfam family: Bacterial small subunit ribosomal RNA
Source: RNAcentral
AAAAGACAUCGAAAGCUUGCUUUUGAUGGGCGUCGACCGGCGCACGGGUGAGUAACGCGUAUCCAACCUGCCCAUCACUUGGGGAUAACCUUGCGAAAGUAAGACUAAUACCCAAUGACGUCUCUAGAAGACAUCUGAAAGAGAUUAAAGAUUUAUCGGUGAUGGAUGGGGAUGCGUCUGAUUAGCUUGUUGGCGGGGUAACGGCCCACCAAGGCUACGAUCAGUAGGGGUUCUGAGAGGAAGGUCCCCCACAUUGGAACUGAGACACGGUCCAAACUCCUACGGGAGGCAGCAGUGAGGAAUAUUGGUCAAUGGACGAGAGUCUGAACCAGCCAAGUAGCGUGCAGGAUGACGGCCCUAUGGGUUGUAAACUGCUUUUAUAAGGGAAUAAAGUGAGUCUCGUGAGACUUUUUGCAUGUACCUUAUGAAUAAGGACCGGCUAAUUCCGUGCCAGCAGCCGCGGUAAUACGGAAGGUCCGGGCGUUAUCCGGAUUUAUUGGGUUUAAAGGGAGCGUAGGCCGGAGAUUAAGCGUGUUGUGAAAUGUA